GCGUAAAGCGUGCGUAGGCGGCGCGUUAAGUCAGAUGUGAAAGCCCCGGGCUUAACCUGGGAACUGCAUUUGAAACUGGCGCGCUAGAGUUGAGUAGAGGUAAGUGGAAUUUCAGGUGUAGCGGUGAAAUGCGUAGAUAUCUGAAGGAACACCAGUGGCGAAGGCGACUUACUGGACUCAAACUGACGCUGAGGUACGAAAGCGUGGGUAGCAAACAGGAUUAGAUACCCUGGUAGUCCACGCCGUAUACGAUGUCAACUAGCCGUUGGUCCUAUAUACAGGAUUAGUGGCGCAGCUAACGCAUUAAGUUGACCGCCUGGGGAGUACGGCCGCAAGGUUAAAACUCAAAUGAAUUGACGGGGGCCCGCACAAGCGGUGGAGCAUGUGGUUUAAUUCGAUGCAACGCGAAGAACCUUACCUACCCUUGACAUCCAGUGAAUUCGGCAGAGAUGCCUUAGUGCCUUCGGGAACACUGAGACAGGUGCUGCAUGGCUGUCGUCAGCUCGUGUUGUGAAAUGUUGGGUUAAGUCCCGUAACGAGCGCAACCCUUAUCCUUAGUUGCCAGCGGUUCGGCCGGGAACUCUAGGGAGACUGCCGAUGAUAAAUCGGAGGAAGGUGGGGACGACGUCAAGUCAUCAUGGCCCUUAUGGGUAGGGCUACACACGUGCUACAAUGGCCGGUACAGAGGGCAGCGAACUUGCGAAAGUAAGCAAAUCCCAGAAAGCCGGUCCUAGUCCGGAUUGGAGUCUGCAACUCGACUCCAUGAAGUCGGAAUCGCUAGUAA
This 784-nucleotide ribosomal RNA is filed under the name uncultured Gammaproteobacteria bacterium. RNAcentral describes it as "bacterial SSU rRNA". It matches the Rfam family "Bacterial small subunit ribosomal RNA", at positions 558 to 1341 of the family's 1533-position model. Lineage: Bacteria; Pseudomonadati; Pseudomonadota; Gammaproteobacteria. The record is from RNAcentral.